CACCAGCAGGAAGCAACAUGGCAAGUCUGCAUACCAGAAUAGUCCCUACAAUGGGGAGGGUGAAUGUGAAGGGAUGCAGGACCAAAGUGGCGGAGGAGCUAGGAGCCUAUUGCGGUAAUUCAGGCGAGAGACGAUAAAGGCUUUCGCUUGGAUUUGAGAUUACGGUAUCAAGGCCAGGGGCUCCUUUGGUCCUAAGGGACAGAGACUCACUCCCAACUCCGGGGAAAAGGUAGAUAGCAGGAAGCCUCAGAGAAGCCCCAGAGCGGGGAUCCAGGCAGGCAUCCCAGAAACCAGGAUUGGAACUGGGAAACCUCAUCUCUAAGCUUUCUCUCUCAGCAUCUCUGCUCCUUGCACCUCUGCUCCGUUGUCUUCUGUUGACCGUUGCACUUCCUGGGUUACUCACGGUUUCUGCUUUCCCGUAACUUCUCCUCGUGUGAGGGCCCAAGAACAAUCUCCACCCUAACGCCGCCUGAACUUCCACCUUCCGGGAUCACCACCAGCUGCCUUCUUCCCUCUGUGCCACUUGAUUCCAAUUUCCGAGACAGAGUCUGAGUGGCUCUGCUCAUCCUUUUGAUCCGGGUCAGGCAAAUGCUAGGCCAAGGGCCAGGCCACGGAUGAGGGUUGAGGCUGGUCCACAGCUAGGGAAUUUGGCCAUGUGAGGUAGCUGGGUUCUGAUCAGGGAGUCUCCUUGCAGACCUGAAAUAUGUGUCAUAUAGUAGGCCAGAGGGGAAAGGAUAAAUUUAAAAUUUAUGACGCAAUAAAAUCAGCUUUAUUAGGUAAUUGUCUGAAUGUGGGAGGUGAGUGGAGUGGAGGUAAGCAUGACCGGCAGGGGCCGGCUCGGGUAACUGGAUGAUCUCUCAGCUGCGCUUUCCUCCAUGUUGGUGCUGUUUCUUGGUUCUCAGGAAGCUUCACUUAAUUCAGUCAGGGUCUCAGCAGAAAACGGAUGGCUGUCUCACACUGGGAAACGUGAGGAGGGUUUAACAAGAGGACGGAGGAACAUGGUAUAAGGUAGCACAAGGGACAGUGCAGCACCCUGGGGCUAGAAACAGCGGUGUGCUGUGCAGCCCUGAGCCUGGAGGGGAAGGGGAGGGGCAGUUUUUAGAAUCCAGAAAGGGAGACCUGCCUGACCCGAGUUGUGGUCUUAUUUUUAUUUUUUUUCCUUCUCCCCAAAGCCCCCCAAUACGUAGUUGUAUAUUUUAGUUGUGGGUCCUUCUGUUUGUGGCAUGUGGGAUGCCGCCUCAGCAUGGCCGGACAAGCGGCGCCACAUCCACGCCCAGGAUCCGAACCUGCGAACCCAUGGGCCACCAAAGCGGAGUGGGAACUUAACCACUCGGCCACGGGGCCACCCCCGAGCUUUGGUCUUUAGUGGGGACACAGUCAGCCUGUGGCAACAUCCCAGUAAGGAAGCUGGGGGGAAAAACAAACCCUGACCUGGCUCUUCUUCCUCCCUCUGAAACCCUGCCCUGGCUCUCCAAGUGCCAACCCCAACAGGAAGACAGAGAUCAAGGAAGCCCAUUGAUGUAUUCUACGUAGUCAGUCCUCUCACUAAUCAGAGCUGGAAGGGGCCACUACUUGCCGAUAACCUCUACGUAAAAAACCACAGAAUUGAAAUGCAAUUGUUCUAAUUUGCCUUGGGUAGGUCAAGUCUCCAUCUCUGCACCAAUCACUGUAGCAGAAGGUGAUAGGGCGCUCUGACUGGCUAAGAAAGAAGCUGAGGGCAGAGUCGGCUCUGAUUCAACGUCUCAGCUAAGACCCGGAAAGCAAAUCUCCUAGGAAAAUCACUGUGUUGUUAACUGACCAGAUAAAAAGAACAGAUGUCCCCUACUGCCCAUAACGGGGCUCGUCGAGGACUUUUGAGUGGGGGUUUGCUGUUUCUGCUGGACGCAUUGGAGGGAAGAGACCAGAGUGCACUGGUGAAUGGGUCAGCCCAGCCAUAAGGGAUGGAGCUGCCUCUCUCCAGGCCUCAGUUUCCUAGCAGGGACGAAUCUUAACCUUCUGAGGCUAUAGCGCUCACCAGCAAGUUGUUAACAAACAAGUCCAGCCUUCUCAUCAAGAGCGCAGACCCCGCGUCGCCAGUAAAGACCACCCAGCCUUGUUUUCUGAAAUCUUUCCUUACAGUUCGACCUAGACGAGACCUCUCUGGACCCACUGAAGUUUGCUGGAAGGUGCCACCUAGUGGAACAUCAGAUGACCUGCCGCUUAGACAAAAAGAAACCUCAGGAAGGUUUUACAACGGAAAGCCGUCCAGCAGUGGUUCCCUCAAACUUGGCUGCAGCCACCCGGGGAUGGUGGAGUCCCUACCCUCCGAGGAUCUGAACCGGAGAAAUCCCGGGCCACCGAAGGGGAGCUCGGGAACUGAACCACUAGGCCACCAGCCAGCCUGCAUCCAGAGUUUUAAAAGACUAGGAGCUGAAAUGCCACUAAAUGCGCACACUGGCCUAAACCACCUGAGUGGUGUUCCGUGUCUGGCUCCCUUUCUCCCAUCCUACCCUGCAAGAUUGGGUCCGGUUCCAGAAUUUUGGAAUUAAAAAAGACCUCAAAGAGCAUCUGGUUCAACUGCUUUAUUUAACGCAACCAUAAUCUAUGUUUACCUAGACAUCUCUAAUUCCUGCUACCACAUGCACUCAUGGACUCAUACAUCAUAAACCUGAUGAGAAUUUGAGCAACCUGCCUGAAGCCACAGAGGAAAUUAAGGGCAAAGUCUGCACUGAUCCAGGCUGAUUAGAGCCAGUUGGGGAAAUUUCAGCUCCAGGACUUUUGUUCUCUUCCUCUAUAGUAGAAGUCUGAGCCUUGUUAAAUGGCCAACCUGGUAGAGAUAGCAAUUUGGGUCGUUGACGCCAGUGUUAAUGAGUUUCCUGAGUGCAGGUUUUAAAGAGUUGACUCUUCUCGCUGAAGUAUGUCUCAGGGGACCCUGAAAGAUCUGCCUAUUACUGAUGACAAGAUGGAAAACUGAAGCGUGAGCAAGAGAAUUGACAGCUCAUUUGAAAAAAAGAAGAAGAAAAGGAAGUAAAGAUGGGAAGAUGGGGGAAGAGAGGAGAUGCUCACCAAUCAU
Molecule: long non-coding RNA, 3052 nt
Organism: Equus caballus (horse)
Lineage: Eukaryota; Metazoa; Chordata; Mammalia; Perissodactyla; Equidae
Source: Ensembl